UACGUAGGGUGCGAGCGUUGUCCGGAAUUACUGGGCGUAAAGAGUUCGUAGGCGGUUUGUCGCGUCGUUCGUGAAAACUUGGGGCUUAACUCCGAGCUUGCAGUCGAUACGGGCAGGCUAGAGUUCGGCAGGGGAGGACUGGAAUUCCCGGUGUAGUGGUGAAAUGCGUAGAGAUCGGGAGGAAUACCUGUGGCGAAGGCGGCCUACUGGGCCGGACCUGACGCUGAGACGCGAAGGCGUGGGGAGCGAACGGG
RNAcentral lists this ribosomal RNA (254 nucleotides) under uncultured bacterium. Its description in RNAcentral is "partial 16S ribosomal RNA". It matches the Rfam family "Bacterial small subunit ribosomal RNA", at positions 524 to 776 of the family's 1533-position model. The record is from RNAcentral.